RNAcentral lists this ribosomal RNA (376 nucleotides) under uncultured bacterium. Its description in RNAcentral is "bacterial SSU rRNA". It matches the Rfam family "Bacterial small subunit ribosomal RNA", at positions 524 to 898 of the family's 1533-position model. The record is from RNAcentral.
UACGUAGGGGGCAAGCGUUGUCCGGAAUCAUUGGGCGUAAAGCGCGCGUAGGCGGCCCGGUCAGUCCGUUGUGAAAGUCAAAGGCUCAACCUUUGAAUGCCGACGGAUACUGCCGGGCUAGAGUCCGGAAGAGGCGAGUGGAAUUCCUGGUGUAGCGGUGGAAUGCGCAGAUAUCAGGAGGAACACCUAUAGCGAAGGCAGCUCGCUGGGACGGUACUGACGCUGAGGCGCGAAAGCGUGGGGAGCGAACAGGAUUAGAUACCCUGGUAGUCCACGCCGUAAACGAUGGGAACUAGGUGUGGGAGGUGUCGACUCCUCCCGUGCCGACGCUAACGCAUUAAGUUCCCCGCCUGGGGAGUACGGCCGCAAGGCUAAA